CUUAUCCGGAGAGACUGAGGGAACAGGCCCUGUGACGUCCGGCAACCUGCUUUUCAGUAAGGUGCUAAUUCCUGCGGUAUGACCGAAAGAUGAGU
RNAcentral lists this non-coding RNA (95 nucleotides) under bovine gut metagenome. RNAcentral's name for it is "SAM riboswitch (S box leader)". It matches the Rfam family "SAM riboswitch aptamer (S box leader)". Rfam says of the family: The SAM riboswitch is found upstream of a number of genes which code for proteins involved in methionine or cysteine biosynthesis in Gram-positive bacteria. The SAM riboswitch acts at the level of transcription termination control. The record is from RNAcentral.